GACGAACGCUGGCGGCGUGCUUAACACAUGCAAGUCGAACGAAGCUUGAUUACGGAUUCUCCGGAUGAAGUAUGAUAUGACUGAGUGGCGGACGGGUGAGUAACGCGUGAGUAACCUGCCCUUCAGAGGGGGAUAGCGUUUGGAAACGAACGGUAAUACCGCAUAAUGUAUUUUGACCGCAUGAUCGAAAUACCAAAGAUUUAUCGCUGAAGGAUGGACUCGCGUCUGAUUAGGUAGUUGGUGGGGUAACGGCCUACCAAGCCGACGAUCAGUAGCCGGACUGAGAGGUUGAUCGGCCACAUUGGGACUGAGACACGGCCCAGACUCCUACGGGAGGCAGCAGUGGGGAAUAUUGCACAAUGGGCGCAAGCCUGAUGCAGCAACGCCGCGUGAAGGAAGACGGUUUUCGGAUUGUAAACUUCUGUUCUUAGUGAAGAAUAAUGACGGUAGCUAAGGAGCAAGCCACGGCUAACUACGUG
RNAcentral lists this ribosomal RNA (479 nucleotides) under uncultured bacterium. RNAcentral's name for it is "partial 16S ribosomal RNA". It matches the Rfam family "Bacterial small subunit ribosomal RNA", at positions 28 to 507 of the family's 1533-position model. The record is from RNAcentral.